AUAUAACAUCAUAGCAGGUACAGAAUUGUUUCCUGUACAACUUGCAUUAAAAAAGUGCUCUUUGUUGAAUUCUUAGGGAUGUGAAAAUCUUAUUCGCGUGUAUUUGAACUCGGAAGGGUUAUGAUGACUAUAUAAUAAUCAGACAUAGUACGAUAAGGUAGUAUGUCAAAAGGGAAACAGCCCAGAACAAGAGUUAAUAAGGUUCCAAAAUUAUUGUUAAGUGAAAAUAAGGAAGUUUCAAUCAAAUAUGCCCAGGAGAUAGGCUUGGAUGCGGCCAUUUUUUGAAGACCUCGUAACAGAGCACUGGAUUAGUAAAUUAUUUUUAUAAUUAAUAUUGAUAAAAGCACCAAAAAUUUAACGGAUCUAAACAAUAUACCGAGACCUUGUCCAUAUUUAUAUAUAUAUCUAAGUUGUAUAUUGUAUUUAUGGGGUAGCGGAACAUUGGGCAAAUAUAAGAAUUUUUCUUUUUAAGACUUAAGAUAAUAUAACCCAAGCGAUAAUGCUGACAUGAGUAACGAUAAAGGGAAUAAACUAUUCCCUCGCCUAAAACUUAUGGUAUUUACUUAAAGUAACGGCCUCUAAGUUUAGAAACCUAAAGGACUAAACGAUGAGAAAAUCUACUACCUUCGAAUAAAUAACCUUUGUGAUGAGACUUAUGCGACUAAAGACGAAGUAGACGGUAAGCUUUUUUGCUAAAGUGACAAGGUUCUGGAAAAUUUAAGUAGUGCAUCAUGGAUAAUAGGCAGGAGGCAAUCUCCUGCCUACCGAAGGCCUUCGGUACCGAAGGCCAUGGGAAAAAGACCGUACCUAGAAACUACCCCCAGUAAGUUAGAAGAGAUAGAAGGGCGUUUGAGUGACAAUCAUUAAGGAACUCGG
This 876-nucleotide ribosomal RNA is filed under the name Umbilicaria grisea. RNAcentral's name for it is "partial large subunit ribosomal RNA". It matches the Rfam family "Bacterial large subunit ribosomal RNA", at positions 884 to 1717 of the family's 2925-position model. Lineage: Eukaryota; Fungi; Ascomycota; Lecanoromycetes; Umbilicariales; Umbilicariaceae. The record is from RNAcentral.